Catharus ustulatus (Swainson's thrush) is the source of this 2226-nucleotide long non-coding RNA. RefSeq lists it as uncharacterized. The transcript is spliced from 3 exons. Lineage: Eukaryota; Metazoa; Chordata; Aves; Passeriformes; Turdidae. The record is from RefSeq and is a predicted model, not a curated record.
AUGGCCUCGGGAAACUUCCUCAUGCCGGCUGGGAACACCUGCAAACGCCGUCAUUCCUGCCGGUCUUUUCCUGCAGGGGCUUCAGAAAUCUCGAGUCACGUCUUAGUGGCUUUGCCGCGAGGGUCUCAGCGUGUUCCAAGACGUGAGGUGUAUCUGUCUCUAUAGAAUGCAACAGCAAGAUCUUGAAGUGAUGAUUACAGCCAAAACAUACGAUUUCAUGUUCAGCUGAUUGCUUUUGACCAGUUUGAGAACAUUAGGAGUUUACGGAAAUCCUUGUGGAGGACCCACAGCAAGUGACCAGAGGAACAGCCACACCAGGCCUGCAAGAUCUCUGUGCAUAAAUCUCCCUGGUUUUCAUGCCUAGUGAGUAGCUCCAAGAGGUCUGUUCUGUCUAUCCUUCUGCCCAGGUAAGAUGCUCUGAUCGAAUAUUAUGUUUGCUCUUGGUGUGAGGACUCAGAUUUCUCCCCAUCCCAUGCUUCCCAUGUGGAACCAAAGGUACUAGCUCAGAGUACAGGAAUAAGCACAGUGAUGCUGGUGUGUGGAGUGAGUUACAGACCUUUUUCUUACCUAAGGCAGCAUUUGAAAGAUGCCAAAGGAAAUCGAGUUCUGCAUUCGCGCUGUGCAGAUAUGAGGAUUUUGCCUGGCACAAGGGACUGGAUAAGUUAUCAAGGUAUAACAAACAAAUUACAGAAUUACUGUGUUUUCACGUGUGAAACAUGAGUCUCGUAUCACCGUGGAUAAAUUAUUCCUCUGUGAAAGCAAGUCCUCAGAUAGCCUGUAUCCUCAGAUAACCUAGCUAUUACACAUGGGAAUGUACACUGGCUUUUAUCAGCUGGAUUUGGGAAUGAAAUGCAGGCGGGCGAGUCCAGAGACUGCUGACGUGGCAGCUUUCCUCUCCCUCCUCAUGCUGUCCCUCUGGCUCUGCUCUCUACAUCCCCGUGUCCACUGCAGGUUCUGGGAAGGCUGCAGGCGCUGCAGGCGCUGAGACACUGGAAUCUGUGGAAGUGAGGGAGCUUAAAAUAGGACAAGCAGUGGGGAAGGAUGGAAUGUGACACUACAUGCAGACCAAGAGCAUCACAUGAGACAAUACACAAGUGUUUUACUCCAGAUGCCCUCCCUUUGUGAGGGACCACAUGGGGUGUCCUUACAGUUCCCACCAGAGUUCUUACAGUGCAACAAUAUGGUGCAAACACUGAAGAUCAAGUUGGGCAUUGAAAUACAAAAGUAUUGGGAGGGCUUGAGGAAAACGUUUUGGUUUUUUUUCUUUGACUGAGAGGCUCAUAACAGCAGCAUUGCACAGGAGCCGUGCACAGGCUGUGAGCAACACAUACAAAAAGCCCCUUUUCUGAACCCAGGAGGAAAACGCUGCAGGACCAGAGUGACCUUGCACCCGUAUUCCUGGGCAACAGGUUUGCUUAUAAAAUCUGCAUCAGAGACUUCCGUGCAAUUAGGUCAUUCGAUCUUUGAUCAUUUUUCUGUUCCAUAAGGUACAGAGCAUAUUUACAUUCAACUCGCAGGUUCUUUCUUCAAUUCCUUGACAACAGACCGCUCUAAUUAUGUGUGUGCUGACAGGACUACAGAGAGCUCCCAUGUGACCGCGGUGGAAGGGAAGAAAGCUUAUCACCAGGUGACAGAAGAAUGCCCUUAUUGUUAGCGCCAAUACUUACAAAUAAACCUUUCCAGGGUGUCACAUACCGGUAUAAAUACACCACUCCUGUGGCAUUGAGCUAAUAUGUUAAUAAAGCAGGAAUUGAGGAAGGGCUGUACCUGAGCUGCUUCCUCCGGGACACAAGCACCUUAAGAUUUCGCGUGGGUUAGCUGUAUGAACUAAGGGCUUUGUGGCCCACAACGCAAAGUAUCCGAAUUAAUAAAAUGUUCGCUAAUAUGCUCAGAGGAGGAUCCGUGACCCUCCUCGUGUCCCAGUCUUCCCUUCGGCUGCGGUUCCCAGUUCUGCUGUGGUAGCUCCUGAGAGUCCUCAGCCCCAGGGCAGGGCUUGGAUGUGCUAAGUGCUGUGCAAACACUGCGGCACAAAAUGGAUUCUGCUCUGAAAAGAUGAGCUCGCUUCCCAGCCUGACAGACACUGCAAUGUUCAAAGAACAACUCCAGCUUUAUUGCAGCACAGGUUAACAGAAUUAGAUCCCCCGAGCCAAAAUUUGCAUGGGAGAAAAUAGAAGUAUUUGUUAGAUCGUGGCUUCUCAUCACAGGGCACAGGGGGGAGAACUUUCA